GAAUUUAUUUUUAUUAGAAAUUGCAAACGUCGUACGUACUAAAGUAUACACUAUCGAAAAAUCAUGUAUACGCAAUAAUUAUGACGAAUGCAAAAAAAAAAAAAAGUAUACAUGAGCUCCGAUUUUAGUCUUUCUUUCACAUAUCUUUAUCAGAGGAACAUGCAUGGCCAACACAAUUAACACGUCCUUCUUCUUCUUU
RNAcentral lists this long non-coding RNA (199 nucleotides) under Capsella rubella. Its description in RNAcentral is "long non-coding RNA (CRUB_LNC002849)". The record is from RNAcentral. Lineage: Eukaryota; Viridiplantae; Streptophyta; Magnoliopsida; Brassicales; Brassicaceae.